This 253-nucleotide ribosomal RNA is filed under the name uncultured bacterium. RNAcentral describes it as "partial 16S ribosomal RNA". It matches the Rfam family "Bacterial small subunit ribosomal RNA", at positions 524 to 776 of the family's 1533-position model. The record is from RNAcentral.
UACGUAGGGGGCUAGCGUUGUCCGGAAUCAUUGGGCGUAAAGCGCGUGUAGGCGGCCCGGUAAGUCCGCUGUGAAAGUCGGGGGCUCAACCCUCGAAAGCCGGUGGAUACUGUCGGGCUAGAGUCCGGAAGAGGAGAGUGGAAUUCCUGGUGUAGCGGUGAAAUGCGCAGAUAUCAGGAAGAACACCCGUGGCGAAGGCGGCUCUCUGGGACGGUACUGACGCUGAGACGCGAAAGCGUGGGGAGCGAACAGG